RNAcentral lists this transfer RNA (76 nucleotides) under Mesorhizobium sp. M7A.T.Ca.TU.009.01.3.1. RNAcentral describes it as "tRNA-Met". It matches the Rfam family "tRNA". Rfam says of the family: Transfer RNA (tRNA) molecules are approximately 80 nucleotides in length. Their secondary structure includes four short double-helical elements and three loops (D, anti-codon, and T loops). The record is from RNAcentral. Lineage: Bacteria; Pseudomonadati; Pseudomonadota; Alphaproteobacteria; Hyphomicrobiales; Phyllobacteriaceae.
CGCGGGGUGGAGCAGCCCGGUAGCUCGUCAGGCUCAUAACCUGAGGUCACAGGUUCAAAUCCUGUCCCCGCAACCA